This 900-nucleotide ribosomal RNA is filed under the name uncultured bacterium. Its description in RNAcentral is "bacterial SSU rRNA". It matches the Rfam family "Bacterial small subunit ribosomal RNA", at positions 516 to 1427 of the family's 1533-position model. The record is from RNAcentral.
CGCGGUCAUACGUAGGGUGCAAGCAUUAUCCGGAGUGACUGGGCGUAAAGAGUUGCGUAGGUGGUUUAUUAAGUGAAUGGUGAAAUUUGGCGGCUCAACCGUACAAACUAUUAUUCAAACUGAUAAACUCGAGAAUGGUAGAGGUAACUGGAAUUUCUAGUGUAGGAGUGAAAUCCGUAGAUAUUAGAAGGAACACCAAUGGCGUAGGCAGGUUACUGGACCAUUUCUGACACUGAGGCACGAAAGCGUGGGGAGCGAACCGGAUUAGAUACCCGGGUAGUCCACGCCGUAAACUAUGGAUACUAGCUGUUGGAGGUAUCGACCCCUUCAGUAGCGAAGCUAACGCGUUAAGUAUCCCGCCUGUGGAGUACGGUCGCAAGACUAAAACAUAAAGGAAUUGACGGGGACCCGCACAAGCGGUGGAGCGUGUUCUUUAAUUCGAUGAUAAACGAAGAACCUUACCAGGGUUUGACAUCCCUUGAAUUACUCCGAAAGGAGUGAGUGCUUUAUUGAGCAAGGUGACAGGUGAUGCAUGGCCGUCGUCAGCUCGUGUCGUGAGAUGUUUGGUUAAGUCCAUCCACGAGCGCAACCCUUGUGAUUAGUUGUAUUUUUCUAAUCAGACUGCCCCGGUAACGGGGAGGAAGGAGGGGAUGAUGUCAGGUCAGUAUUUCCCUUACACCCUGGGCUAGAAACGCGCUACAAUGGCCGGUACAAUGCGGAGCGAAGUCGCGAGAUGGAGCAAAUCGCAUCAAAGCCGGUCCCAGUUCGGAUAGUAGGCUGAAACUCGCCUGCUUGAAGUCGGAAUCGCUAGUAAUCGCAGAUCAGCAUGCUGCGGUGAAUACGUUCCCGGGUCUUGUACACACCGCCCGUCAAACCAUGAAAGUCACCAACACCCGAAGU